Molecule: ribosomal RNA, 1409 nt
Filed under: metagenome
Description: SSU rRNA
Rfam family: Eukaryotic small subunit ribosomal RNA
Source: RNAcentral
GUAGUCAUAUGCUUGUCUCAAAGAUUAAGCCAUGCAUGUCUAAGUACAGGCUUUGGUACAGCGAAACCGCGAAUGGCUCAUUAAAUCAGCUAUAAUUUAUUAGAUUGUUCUUUACUUGGAUAACUGUGGGAAUUCUAAAGCUAAUACAUGCACAAAAGCUCCGACCUUCGGGAAGGAGUGCAGUUAUUAGACCAAAACCAGCCGAGCUUCGGCUCGAACUGUUUGGUGACUCUGGAUAACGAUGAGCGGAUCGCAUGGCCUUGAGCCGGCGACGUAUCUUUCAAGUGUCUGACCUAUCAACUGACGAUGGUACGCGAUAUGCCUACCAUGGUGAUAACGGGUAACGGAGAAUAAGGGUUCGACUCCGGAGAGGGAGCCUGAGAAAUGGCUACCACAUCCAAGGAUGGCAGCAGGCGCGCAAAUUACCCACUCUCAGUACGAGGAGGUAGUGACGAAAAAUAACAAUGCGGGACUCAUCAGAGGCCUCGCAAUUGGAAUGAGCGCACUUUAAAUCGUUCGACGAGGAUCUAUUGGAGGGCAAGUCUGGUGCCAGCAGCCGCGGUAAUUCCAGCUCCAAUAGCGUAUAUUAAAGUUGUUGCAGUUAAAAAGCUCGUAGUUGGAUCUGGGGUUCGGGUCGGCGGUUUGCCGCUUCGGCGGCUACUGCCGUGCUCGACUCUUACUAGCCGGUGCGUCUUGCGGUGCUCUUCAUCGAGUGCCGUAGGAGCCUGGCAUGUUUACUUUGAAAAAAUUAGAGUGCUCAAAGCAGGCGAUUCCGCCUGAAUAGUGUUGCAUGGAAUAAUGGAAUAGGACCUCGGUUCUAUUUUGUUGGUUUUCGGAACUUGAGGUAAUGAUUAAGAGGGACGGUCGGGGGCAUUCGUAUUUCGGUGUUAGAGGUGAAAUUCUUGGAUCGCUGAAAGACGGACAAAUGCGAAAGCAUCUGCCAAGAACGUCUCCAUUAAUCAAGAACGAAAGUCAGAGGUUCGAAGACGAUCAGACACCGUCCUAGUUCUGACCAUAAACGAUGCCAACUAGCGAUCCGCAGUGGUUGCUAUAAACGGACUCUGCGAGCAGCUUCCGGGAAACCAAAGUGUUUGGGUUCCGGGGGAAGUAUGGUUGCAAAGCUGAAACUUAAAGGAAUUGACGGAAGGGCACCACCAGGAGUGGAGCCUGCGGCUUAAUUUGACCCAACACGGGGAAACUCACCCGGUCCGGACACUGUAAGGAUUGACAGAUCGAGAGCUCUUUCUUGAUUCGGUGGAUGGUGGUGCAUGGCCGUUCUUAGUUGGUGGAGUGAUUUGUCUGGUUAAUUCCGAUAACGAACGAGACUCUAGCCUGCUAACUAGUUGCGCCGUGUUCAUACGCGGCUGUAGACUUCUUAGAGGGACAGGUGGCGUUUAGCCACACGAAAU